GCAUAUCAAUAAGCGGAGGAAAAGAAACCAACAGGGAUUGCCCUUAGUAACGGCGAAGUGAAGCGGCAACAGCUCAAAUUUGAAAUCUGGCUCUUUCAGGGUCCGAAGUUGUAAUUUGCAGAGGGUGCUUUGGCAAAGGUUGUGGUCUAAGUUCCUUGGAACAGGACGUCACAGAGGGUGAGAAUCCCGUACGUGGCCGCCAACCCGCGCUAUGUAAAGCCCCUUCGACGAGUCGAGUUGUUUGGGAAUGCAGCUCUAAAUGGGAGGUAAAUUUCUUCUAAAGCUAAAUAUUGGCCAGAGACCGAUAGCGCACAAGUAGAGUGAUCGAAAGAUGAAAAGCACUUUGGAAAGAGAGUCAAAAAGCACGUGAAAUUGUUGAAAGGGAAGCGCUUGCAGCCAGACUUGCCUGUAGUUGCUCAUCCGGGCUCUUGCCUGGUGCACUCUUCUAUAGGCAGGCCAGCAUCAGUCUUGGCGGUCGGAUAAAUGCGUGCUAAACGUACCUCUCUUCGGGGAGGACUUAUAGGGCACGCGGCAUACGACCAGCCGGGACUGAGGUCCGCGCAUCUGCUAGGAUGCUGGCGUAAUGGCUGUAAGCGGCCCGUCUUGAAACACGGACCAAGGAGUCUAACAUCUAUGCGAGUGUUUGGGUGUCAAGCCCGAGCGCGUAAUGAAAGUGAACGGAGGUGGGAACCCCUCGGGGUGCACCAUCGACCGAUCCUGAUGUCUUCGGAUGGAUUUGAGUAAGAGCAUAGCUGUUGGGACCCGAAAGAUGGUGAACUAUGCCUGAAUAGGGUGAAAGCCAGAGGAAACUCUGGUGGAGGCUCGCAGCGGUUUCUGACGUGCAAAUCGAUCGUCAAAUUUGGGCAUAGGGGCGAAAGACUAAUCGAACUAUCUAGUAGCUGGUUCCUGCCGAAGU
RNAcentral lists this ribosomal RNA (916 nucleotides) under Preussia fleischhakii. RNAcentral's name for it is "LSU rRNA". It matches the Rfam family "Eukaryotic large subunit ribosomal RNA", at positions 38 to 967 of the family's 3401-position model. The record is from RNAcentral. Lineage: Eukaryota; Fungi; Ascomycota; Dothideomycetes; Pleosporales; Sporormiaceae.